UACGUAGGGGGCAAGCGUUGUCCGGAUUUAUUGGGCGUAAAGAGCGUGUAGGCGGUUCGGUAGGUCCGUUGUGAAAACUCGAGGCUCAACCUCGAGACGCCGAUGGAAACCAUCGAACUAGAGUCCGGAAGAGGAGAGUGGAAUUCCUGGUGUAGCGGUGAAAUGCGCAGAUAUCAGGAGGAACACCGGUGGCGAAGGCGGAUCUCUGGGCCUUACCUGACGCUCAGGUGCGAAAGCUAGGGGAGCGAACAGG
Molecule: ribosomal RNA, 253 nt
Filed under: uncultured bacterium
Lineage: Bacteria
Description: partial 16S ribosomal RNA
Rfam family: Bacterial small subunit ribosomal RNA
Source: RNAcentral